UACGUAGGGUGCGAGCGUUGUCCGGAAUUAUUGGGCGUAAAGGGCGCGUAGGCGGCCACGCACGUCCGUUGUGAAAUCGCUCGGCUCAACUGGGCGGGGUCAGCGGAUACGGAGUGGCUGGAGCAAGCUAGGGGGCAAUGGAAUUCCCGGUGUAGUGGUGGAAUGCGUAGAUAUCGGGAGGAACACCAGUGGCGAAGGCGGUUGCCUGGAGCUUUGCUGACGCUGAUGCGCGAAAGCGUGGGGAGCGAGCCGG
Molecule: ribosomal RNA, 253 nt
Filed under: uncultured bacterium
Lineage: Bacteria
Description: partial 16S ribosomal RNA
Rfam family: Bacterial small subunit ribosomal RNA
Source: RNAcentral